Molecule: long non-coding RNA, 513 nt
Filed under: Bos taurus (domestic cattle)
Lineage: Eukaryota; Metazoa; Chordata; Mammalia; Artiodactyla; Bovidae
Description: long non-coding RNA NONBTAT012566
Source: RNAcentral
GCAAAAGACCCUACAGAGUAAUGAGUACAUUUUAAUAAGAAAACUUUCAAGUACUAAUGUUAGUGUUAUUGGCAACAAAGUGAAAAUUUGCUUAGUGGCAUAUGUCAUUAAAAAGCACAGUUACUGUGCAAGGAAGUAAUAUAAUGAAGAUGAAGCUUUUUCUAAAAUGCAUAGACAACUUAAGUGUACUUUAAUGGUUAUUCUCUUUGGUCAGCUGUCCUGAAAAUUUGUAAAUAAGACACAGAAAGCUUUAGUUUUUUGUUUAGUUGAAGGAAAACCAUGGUUUCCUUAAGGUCUGAAUUCAGAGAUGUUGUUAGAUGUGCACCAGCUCAGGUCGGAGAGAUUUUACAUGCUGUACCAUAUGUGGAACAAUGACAGGCAUGCAAGAGAAAGUCAUUUGUGAUGGAUGCCAUUCACUUGGCUUUGGCAAGGACCUAAAUGCAUACAGCAGCAAUUACAGAGAAAUCACCAUCUCAUGUCAACAAUAAAGCCAAUGAUCAAUUAAAACUUGCU